GGAGCUACGUGAACGAGCGUGUUCAGCGGUGGCAGUAAGCAAGGAUGCAGCGAGUUAGGGGAACGUCGGCGGCGGCUAGGGGAGGGGGUAGAGGGAAGGAGUUUGCGGCGGCGGGCAGCGACGGCGGGGGCGGAGGUCGGCGCCGACAGCGUGGGUGGAGGUCGGCGCCGGCGGCGGGGUGGAGGCCGAGCUGAGGUGCUAGGGGAAGGAUAGCUAGUGGGUGCGGGGGUGGCGAAGCGUAGACUAGUGGUGGUCGCGGGCACGAGAAGACCGGUGGCUGGCGGUACGUCAGCAGGCACGGCUUGGAAGCGCGACACAAGGAGGCACGCUCCGGCGACGGUGACGUUGCCGAGAGAGCCUAGGUUGUGCUUCGAACACUGCUUCCCGAACCUCAACCGGUACUCACGAGUUCCACUUCACCGCCGUACGCAAAGACAUCCCCCCUCCUCGCACGUAAUCCCUUCAGUCGUCGGCCUAGACUCGCGCCCACUCCGGUCCAACGGUGAACUCCGGGUACAGCCAGUCUAGGUCCGUUGUGUACCCUCAGUCGCACCGCCGCCGCAUCACGGCUCCGUCCUUCCUCCGUACCCUGCUGUGUAGCCGCCCAGUACCACGUGACGUGCUCUACUCACUGUACUACAUUUGUUGCGACAUCCGCAACUACGGUGUGUACACAGUAAAAGAUGAUGGCUAUGACUAAGAACUCCCGAUGACCGUGACGGUGGUCCAUACUCGUCCUUGACGGAGGUAACUCUUGAGACCCAUGACGGCGGCGGCUGCUGGUAGCUCGUGACUCAACCUUGAUGGUGGUAGUUCCUACUGUCCGGCGGUAACUCCAACUAACAAAACCGGCGCGGAAGGGUGAUGGUCAGACGUGGUAGUGACUACAUAAGACUCGUCGGCCUCUUGGGGAUGCCAACGUUCUAAGGACGUUGAACAUAAACUCUACGUACGGGAUUAGUAGAACCAACACCAGUCCACACCAUACAGCCUUAGGGCAGUCUUCUUACACCAUGUAUUAUUAUCAAAGUAGUAGAGUAGAAGUACGAUGAAGGUCAAUUCAUUCGAAUGAAGAGGAAAACUAGAUAUCAAGUAAAGAUAAUAGCCUUCGCUAGACUUGAUUUUAUUUUAAAUACACCAAAGAAUCGUAAAAGAUAGAGUUUGAAAUGUAGUAAUACAGUCCACGAUCUUUUUAUUUAUUGAUUCUGUACAAAAUUCCUUAAGUUUCUACUCAAGGGAAACUUCUCGUUCGUUAGUAUCAUGCCUCGUUCUACUAAGUUUUAUCUCCAAGGGUAUUAAUCUCCGUUAAUUUAGUAUAUACUACUAAUCGGAUUACACGACGAUAUGGUAAAUUUUGUAAAAAACUGGACCCUCGUUAAUCGUUUGAGACUGGAGAAACAUUACAAACUAAUGGUAAAUACAUCCCGAGACAUGACGUCCUGUUGUAUAAGUGAUAGUUAUAUACCAAAUAAAGGUUAUAUUCCACAUACAGUUCAAUAUGUGACCGAUGUCUUUCACUCACACUCACCAUCUGACCUUUAAUUUCUGACAUUGAACUAUCGUAGACCUAUUUACAAUUAUUUUUAACAUAUUUUUAUUUUUCCAAUUCAGACGACCAAGCUUAUUCGUCAGUAAACAGAAGGAAGGUGUCAAAGGUGAUAUACAAUAAAAAUAACCAAAAAGGGAGAUCUGAAGUUAAAAAAAUAUGGUACCACUCAACGGAAAUCAAUCAAAUAACUUAAACUAUGAAGGUAGUCAAGUAACGGAAAUCAAUCAAGAUAUUGUUCAAAGUUAGUUAACAAGUAGGGAUGCAGUUGCUUAUCCAUACCUCAACGAAUAACAAUGAAGUUUCAUCGUUCUGACACACUACUAAGGAUGUAUCACUAAUUGUAUAGAUACGGUACAUGUAAAUAAGAAACCUUGACCUCCAUUAAAGAAGAUUACUAGUGUUCAAUAAAUACGGAGAAAACAUGACUCUAGAGAUCUUCACCUCCCCAACUUCUUCCAGUUCACGUUCUACUUCUAACUAUCCUUCUAAAUGUCGGGUUACAACUUCAUACAUUGGGUAAAACAAACGUACAUCGAUGUUAGGUUCUCCUUCUUUACGUCUUCUUAAACAAGUCCGAAACCUGUACACACCAACUCCUCUCUCGCUGUAGGUUGGUGAUGUUUGAACUGUAUACACGUUUCCAUGUUCAUUAUGUACGUUAACAGUUCCUUUUAUUGUAUAUACACCACUUGUUGAGGAUAUCCAUCUCACUUACAGCCAACAAAAUGUUGUCUACCCUACAGGAAGUCAAGUAGAAGAUACGAUAGCCACUAGCUGAAACAAACUGGGAACGUCGUUCACCGGCAGUAUGGGCGGCCGCUACGCAGGCACGGAUCGCGAACGGUGGCGCGCGGUAGCGAGUAACAUGUGGUGGAGCGACAGGAUUCGACUCAGGGGUGCCCGGCGUGAGCAGUCGCCGCCGCCGCGGUGGGAGUAGGCCAUAAAACUCCAAAAGUGCGUCUAGACAACAAGUCAGAGUCACGUCGCACGGAACUGAGGCGUACUACUUAAACGAUCAACGAACAUAUAAGAUGAUUCUAACUGCUCGAGCUAGUUUUUAGUGGAUUCUUUUUAUACAACAAUAAGAGAUAUUACCAACAACACCUUAAACUCCUCUUAGACACGUGGACGUAGGCCGAGGAACUACAACGAGACUAGUAUAACACAUUUAUAUAAAGAUUAUUUCGUUAGCGGGCUACCACAUGUACAAUCUUUAUUGUUCUACAUUAGUAGUUCGCACUCUCUACCGUUGUAGUACUACCCUACGUCGGUUCGGUUGUUGUCUCGGUCCGAAUCCGGACUACUGCUGAACUGUUUAUACCAGUUCUACAACUUCUACUACUUAGACUUCUAUGACUUCUUUAUCCCCCCCAUGAGAAUCGGAAUCAAGGAAUAUAGUAAAAAACUACAGGUAACGAUACAUAGACAUAUUUGAACGAAGUCGGUAAUAACAGUUAACCAGCCGUUUUCCUAACGUAUAGAGAUCGGUAUGUCUUAUUCGUCUGCUCUACUACACGUAAAUAAACCAC
RNAcentral lists this ribosomal RNA (3078 nucleotides) under Triticum aestivum (bread wheat). RNAcentral's name for it is "partial small subunit ribosomal RNA". Lineage: Eukaryota; Viridiplantae; Streptophyta; Magnoliopsida; Poales; Poaceae. The record is from RNAcentral.